Molecule: small RNA, 29 nt
Filed under: Bombyx mori (domestic silkworm)
Lineage: Eukaryota; Metazoa; Arthropoda; Insecta; Lepidoptera; Bombycidae
Description: ovarian small RNA-12496
Source: RNAcentral
AUCGCGAGAAAUCAAGAUUCUCGCUAGGA